UUCUUCGGGGUCGGGUGAAAGUCCCAACCGGCGGUAUAGUCCGCGACCCGCUUUGAUUAGCGGCUGAAUCGGUGAUACAGUGAGAAGAAGCUGUAAAUUCCGAUACCGACAGUAAAGUCUGGAUGAGAGAAGAA
Molecule: non-coding RNA, 134 nt
Filed under: uncultured Mediterraneibacter sp.
Lineage: Bacteria; Bacillati; Bacillota; Clostridia; Lachnospirales; Lachnospiraceae
Description: FMN riboswitch (RFN element)
Rfam family: FMN riboswitch aptamer (RFN element)
About the family: The RFN element is a highly conserved domain that is found frequently in the 5'-untranslated regions of prokaryotic mRNAs that encode for flavin mononucleotide (FMN) biosynthesis and transport proteins. This element is a metabolite-dependent riboswitch that directly binds FMN in the absence of proteins. In Bacillus subtilis, the riboswitch most likely controls gene expression by causing premature transcription termination within the 5' untranslated region of the ribDEAHT operon and precluding access to the ribosome-binding site of ypaA mRNA.
Source: RNAcentral